AUUGAACGCUGGCGGCAUGCCUUACACAUGCAAGUCGAACGGUAACGGGCCUUCGGGUGCCGACGAGUGGCGAACGGGUGAGUAAUACAUCGGAACGUGCCCGAUCGUGGGGGAUAACGAGGCGAAAGCUUUGCUAAUACCGCAUACGAUCUACGGAUGAAAGCAGGGGACCGCAAGGCCUUGCGCGGACGGAGCGGCCGAUGGCAGAUUAGGUAGUUGGUGGGAUAAAAGCUUACCAAGCCGACGAUCUGUAGCUGGUCUGAGAGGAUGAUCAGCCACACUGGGACUGAGACACGGCCCAGACUCCUACGGGAGGCAGCAGUGGGGAAUUUUGGACAAUGGGCGCAAGCCUGAUCCAGCCAUGCCGCGUGCAGGAUGAAGGCCUUCGGGUUGUAAACUGCUUUUGUACGGAACGAAAAGCCUUCUUUUAAUACAGGAGGGUCAUGAUGGUACCGGAAGAAUAAGCACCGGCUAACUACGUG
RNAcentral lists this ribosomal RNA (482 nucleotides) under uncultured bacterium. RNAcentral describes it as "partial 16S ribosomal RNA". It matches the Rfam family "Bacterial small subunit ribosomal RNA", at positions 30 to 507 of the family's 1533-position model. The record is from RNAcentral.